UACGUAGGGACCGAGCGUUGUCCGGAAUCAUUGGGCGUAAAGAGCGUGUAGGCGGCCAAUUAAGUCCGGCGUGAAAUCUCGGGGCUCAACCCCGAGCGGUCGUGGGAAACUGGUUGGCUAGAGUGCGGGAGAGGAGAGUGGAAUUCCUGGUGUAGCGGUGAAAUGCGCAGAUAUCAGGAGGAACACCGGUGGCGAAGGCGGAUCUCUGGGCCAUUACUGACGCUGAGGAGCGAAAGCGUGGGGAGCGAACAGG
This 253-nucleotide ribosomal RNA is filed under the name uncultured bacterium. Its description in RNAcentral is "partial 16S ribosomal RNA". It matches the Rfam family "Bacterial small subunit ribosomal RNA", at positions 524 to 776 of the family's 1533-position model. The record is from RNAcentral.